UUGACAGCAAAACAGGAUAACAGAGCUGAUCAAUCUACCACUUCCACCAUCACCUUUCAACAAUUGAUCGGAAUUUAAAAUUUGAACUUCAAGAGUCUCUUAGUAGGCAAAUAAUCUGAUUGGAGAGAUAAUGAUAACAAACAGAAGGCCAUUGAUGGGGAUCUUUGUGCAAGACUUCUGAAUAAGUUUUAUUUAGUAGGAAAGAAAAGCAUGUAGUGACUUGGGAUACUUAUUUCUUCCGUUGUAUGGGUAUAUAUAUAAAAAUAUCAUAUAUUAGCACUCGGGAAAAUAAAUGUAUUUAUUUUUGCAGAAAAAGCGAGUAUGAUUGUGGAUUUAUCUGACUUGUGUUUGGUUGUCUGUUUGUGAAAUCUGUUUAUAAAUUGAAUUAAAGGGAAGACCAUCAAUGUAUUAUUGGUUGAGUAGGGAUUAGGAGUUUUCAUGGUCCAUUCUGUGUCGUGUUUUUUAUGAUGGUAGACAUUAUCAAUCCAACUGCUUUCAUGUUUUUGGGAAAACAUUUGAAUUCUAGAAGGUACACAUGGUUUUGAGUUCAUAUUUGCUGUAAUGCUUUGGCAGAAAAAUUCUUCCUUCUUUUCCCUUAUUCAGCAAAGUUUGUGUGGAUUUUGUGUUGAAAUAUGCUUAAUAGUGGUUGCUAUUUCCAUUGCAAUCAUGCAUACACAAAAUUAGUUGUUCUAGUCUUCAUAUUAUUUUAUUUUGUACUAUUAAAGCUUGUGGGUGAGUUUGGAGCUUCUUGUUUUGAUCUUGGGUAUUUGUUUUUUCUUUGCAUUAUAAAACUAUAAAGUGAAUGUAAGUUAUGUAGAACCAUAGUUAUCAGUGAUGCACCGCAAGUGCUUCUAGGCUUUUGGUUCACCCAUCUUGCGGCACCUCAAUUGGUUCCUGUUACUAAAGUUUGGUGCAGCUCUUUAAGUGAUGCCUUGAUAUGCACCUUAGGGACUUGAGGCUUUUGCUUUUUUUUUUUUUUUUAA
This 983-nucleotide unclassified non-coding RNA is filed under the name Hevea brasiliensis (rubber tree). The record is from RNAcentral. Lineage: Eukaryota; Viridiplantae; Streptophyta; Magnoliopsida; Malpighiales; Euphorbiaceae.